Molecule: ribosomal RNA, 388 nt
Filed under: uncultured bacterium
Lineage: Bacteria
Description: bacterial SSU rRNA
Rfam family: Bacterial small subunit ribosomal RNA
Source: RNAcentral
GACGAACGCUGGCGGCGUGCUUAACACAUGCAAGUCGAGCGGUAAGGCCCUUUCGGGGGUACACGAGUGGCGAACGGGUGAGUAACACGUGGGUGACCUGCCCUUAGCUCUGGGAUAAGCCUGGGAAACUGGGUCUAAUACCGGAUAUGACUCCAUGACGCAUGUUGUGGGGUGGAAAGCCUUGUGCGGCUAGGGAUGGGCCUGCGGCCUAUCAGCUUGUUGGUGGGGUGAUGGCCUACCAAGGCGACGACGGGUAGCCGGCCUGAGAGGGCGACCGGCCACACUGGGGACUGAGACACGGCCCAGACUCCUACGGGAGGCAGCAGUGGGGAAUCUUGCGCAAUGGGCGAAAGCCUGACGCAGCGACGCCGCGUGGGGAUGACGGCCU